ACCCCUAAGGCGAGGCCGAAAGGCGUAGUCGAUGGGAAACGGGUUAAUAUUCCCGUACUUGGUGUUACUGCGAAGGGGGGACGGAGAAGGCUAUGUUGGCCGGGCGACGGUUGUCCCGGUUUAAGCGUGUAGGUGUGUGUUCCAGGUAAAUCCGGUUCACUUUAACACUGAGGCGUGACGACGAGGCACUACGGUGCUGAAGCAACAAAUGCCCUGCUUCCAGGAAAAGCCUCUAAGCAUCAGGUAACAUCAAAUCGUACCCCAAACCGACACAGGUGGUCAGGUAGAGAAUACCAAGGCGCUUGAGAGAACUCGGGUGAAGGAACUAGGCAAAAUGGUGCCGUAACUUCGGGAGAAGGCACGCUGACACGUAGGUGAAGUGAUUUACUCAUGGAGCUGAAGUCAGUCGAAGAUACCAGCUGGCUGCAACUGUUUAUUAAAAACACAGCACUGUGCAAACACGAAAGUGGACGUAUACGGUGUGACGCCUGCCCGGUGCCGGAAGGUUAAUUGAUGGGGUCAGCGCAAGCGAAGCUCCUGAUCGAAGCCCCGGUAAACGGCGGCCGUAACUAUAACGGUCCUAAGGUAGCGAAAUUCCUUGUCGGGUAAGUUCCGACCUGCACGAAUGGCGUAAUGAUGGCCAGGCUGUCUCCACCCGAGACUCAGUGAAAUUGAACUCGCUGUGAAGAUGCAGUGUACCCGCGGCAAGACGGAAAGACCCCGUGAACCUUUACUAUAGCUUGACACUGAACAUUGAGCCUUGAUGUGUAGGAUAGGUGGGAGGCUUUGAAGCGUGGACGCCAGUCUGCGUGGAGCCGACCUUGAAAUACCACCCUUUAAUGUUUGAUGUUCUAACGUGGACCCGUGAUCCGGGUUGCGGACAGUGUCUGGUGGGUAGUUUGACUGGGGCGGUCUCCUCCUAAAGAGUAACGGAGGAGCACGAAGGUUGGCUAAUCCUGGUCGGACAUCAGGAGGUUAGUGCAAUGGCAUAAGCCAGCUUGACUGCGAGCGUGACGGCGCGAGCAGGUGCGAAAGCAGGUCAUAGUGAUCCGGUGGUUCUGAAUGGAAGGGCCAUCGCUCAACGGAUAAAAGGUACUCCGGGGAUAACAGGCUGAUACCGCCCAAGAGUUCAUAUCGACGGCGGUGUUUGGCACCUCGAUGUCGGCUCAUCACAUCCUGGGGCUGAAGUAGGUCCCAAGGGUAUGGCUGUUCGCCAUUUAAAGUGGUACGCGAGCUGGGUUUAGAACGUCGUGAGACAGUUCGGUCCCUAUCUGCCGUGGGCGCUGGAGAACUGAGGGGGGCUGCUCCUAGUACGAGAGGACCGGAGUGGACGCAUCACUGGUGUUCGGGUUGUCAUGCCAAUGGCACUGCCCGGUAGCUAAAUGCGGAAGAGAUAAGUGCUGAAAGCAUCUAAGCACGAAACUUGCCCCGAG
RNAcentral lists this ribosomal RNA (1433 nucleotides) under Salmonella enterica. RNAcentral describes it as "partial 23S ribosomal RNA". It matches the Rfam family "Bacterial large subunit ribosomal RNA", at positions 1387 to 2803 of the family's 2925-position model. RNAcentral also lists the same sequence under 1 other name. The record is from RNAcentral. Lineage: Bacteria; Pseudomonadati; Pseudomonadota; Gammaproteobacteria; Enterobacterales; Enterobacteriaceae.